CCAUGGUCUCUGUCACUCAGGCUGGAUGCAGCAGCACAAUCAUAGAUCACUGCACUAUCAACUUACUGGGCUCAAGUGAUCCUUUCACCUCAGCCUCCCAGGUAGCCAGGAUUACAGAAUAUGACUCCUUAGACUUCAGUUUGCAGCCCAUCGAGACCAAGAUUACAUCAUUACCGUUUAUGUGGUAUGUUACACACUAAUCAUGACCAUUACCGCUUACAAGUCUACAGCUUCGUUCAAUUAGCUGCCUGACAUGGAUUUUUUAGUUAAUUCGUGGUGAAGGUCGGCAGCGGUCAGAGUGGCAGGUGCAUUCUGCUACCUUUUUGAAUGCCAAUUAUCAGUCUUGGGUAAUUAGAGUGACUCGUAUAGACAAGUUAAUCA
RNAcentral lists this long non-coding RNA (381 nucleotides) under Callithrix jacchus (white-tufted-ear marmoset). RNAcentral's name for it is "lncRNA (ENSCJAG00000084883.1)". The record is from RNAcentral. Lineage: Eukaryota; Metazoa; Chordata; Mammalia; Primates; Cebidae.